This 394-nucleotide ribosomal RNA is filed under the name uncultured bacterium. RNAcentral describes it as "bacterial SSU rRNA". It matches the Rfam family "Bacterial small subunit ribosomal RNA", at positions 32 to 419 of the family's 1533-position model. The record is from RNAcentral.
AAUCAACGCUGGCGGCGUGCCUCAGACAUGCAAGUCGAACGAUUAAAGCUCCCUUCGGGGAGUGCAUAGAGUGGCGCACGGGUGAGUAACACGUAAGUAAUCUACCCUCGGGUGGGGAAUAACGUUCGGAAACGGACGCUAAUACCGCAUAAUGCAGCGGCACCGCAAGGUGACAGUUGUUAAAGAUUUAUUGCCUGGGGAGGAGCUUGCGGCAGAUUAGCUUGUUGGUAAGGAACGGCUUACCAAGGCUACGAUCUGUAUCCGGUCUAAGAGGACGGUCGGACACACUGACACUGAAUAACGGGUCAGACUCCUACGGGAGGCAGCAGUCGGGAAUUUUGGGCAAUGGGGGAAACCCUGACCCAGCAACGCCGCGUGAAGGAUGAAGUAUUUC